Molecule: long non-coding RNA, 1015 nt
Filed under: Phasianus colchicus (ring-necked pheasant)
Lineage: Eukaryota; Metazoa; Chordata; Aves; Galliformes; Phasianidae
Description: lncRNA (ENSPCLG00000021456.1)
Source: RNAcentral
AAUUUAAGGAUUGAUUCUAUUUGUUUUACUUAAAAUACCUCUCAGCCAGAACUCCAUGUGCACCACUCAGAGGAAAUAGUCCAAAUUGUAUCAGUUUAUCCUGGUAAAGAGGAUAUUAGAGAACUGCUGCUCAGCACAAACCCAGCACACACUUUGCUGAGUGAUAGGCCUAUUCAAUCACAAAUGGGUAACAAAGCCUAGGGAAAGACCUUCGAUCUUGAGAUUAUUAGAUAAGAACCAGAAUAGAGAUGACAUUGUAACAAGAAGUAUGAGGCAAAAUACUGGGAAGUAUGCACUCAGAUAGGAAAGGCAGAUGGAAAGGCAGAUGGAAAGACAAAAAAUAUAGGCAAAGGGCAGAGAUAAGAUUGCAGAUUAUGUGAAUAUUGGCAUCUCUCCAAACUGAAGGAAUUAACCACAGAUUCCUAAUGUUCUUUUUGCUGUGCAGAAUCCCUGCUGCAGAGGAUAACACCAACCUGUCAUGUUCACUCCUCUUCCACCAAACUCUUCUGAGGCCAGUUCUUCUUGAGAGCUGUCUUGGUGAGCACACAGCAGAAAAACAAAUGUACUGUUGCUGGCCCAGGCUGGAAAACACAGAGUGUCUAGUAAUGCUGGCGGAGUAGCACAGGAAGAACCACAGCCUUCUGCAAGGAGACGUGCCAAAGGAACCAUACCCAGCAUGCUGCAAUUCAUGUGGCCUCAGGAGAAACAUGAAGGUGAGUUUCUCCCCUCACCAGGGAGGUGAGGACAGGAGCUAUUUCUGCACUUGACUCUGCCUCUUUGCCAGAGGUUAACAACUUCACACUGCUUCUCACAAUACUCUAACAGUACCCAGCAUCACAAGGCAAGUUCUCCUUCCCUGGCAGCAUGAGCAAUCCCUCUGAUUCUGCAUUUCAGCUGCUUCAGAGGAAGUAGAACCUUCCUCCUCUCGAUUUUGCUCUAAGUGCAACACCAUGGCAGUAGAGACAUCUGAGGUGAUAACUUUCUGGGCUAAGCCUGUCAGAGUUUGACAUUUUAA